UCCGGCAAAACCUCCAAAUUUCACGGCGAACGGCCGCCGGACGCGCCCGGAUCGGACGUCCGAAGUUUGGCGGCGAUUUUUCCCCUCCACCGCCGGCCACCGCGAAUCGGCACUAUUCCGGCCGAUAUACAGUACACGCGCCAUACACCCAGCAUCCUCUCCUCAAGUCCGGCCUACCCACCAAAAAUCACGGCCAUCGGACCACCGACGCGCCGGGAUCGGAGCGUUUUCCGGCGAGGGGUCGAAAAUCUUCAAACGGUGAUUUCUCCGCCGUCCGACCUCCGUUUUGCUCACCGUCGGUCCCGUUGGAUUGCUCUCCUCACGAUCUACAAAUCUGCAAAAUUUCACAGCAAACAGCCACCGUCGGAAAUUACUGUUCCGGCGACGGUUGCCGGUGACGUGGCGGCCGCCGGAAAUCACUGUUCCGGCGAGUACCCCGAAAAUUCCGGCCAGCUCCAGUCCGCAGUGUUCGACCUCCUGAACCCAAAUCCGACUUCCGUUUCCACCAAUUCGCGACGGUUUGGGAGAAUUGCGGAGCCGAAACCCGAAAAGCUUCCCGAUAAAAUUCCGACCCCGUCGGGUACGAUCAUCGGAAAUUAAGACCGGAUCUGUGAUUAGCAUCACUCGAGCUUCGAUUCGGUGCACGUGCAAGUAGCGGAGUCGAUCCUGCGGAGGAUCUUGAUUGAGAUACGUGCACAAGGUACCAGGUUGUCGGUGUUCACUCGGAGCGGACUUGAUCUUCCUCGCUGUAUUUGUUCGCGCAGUACCUUGUUCUUCUUUUACUGCAGUUGUAAUAUUUCGUUCACUUUUGCUGUAUUCUGUAUUUUGUAGUACUUCAUAAAGCUCUGUAUACUGUAUGGGACACUUAUGUAUUUGUAUUGCACUGGAUUACUGUAUUUUUAUUUUGGAGUGCUGAAAUUUGUGGAACCAGUUCGUCGUACUGUGGGAGGAAUAAGGGAACAAUUAUAGAAGUGUGUUUUCAG
This is a long non-coding RNA of Ziziphus jujuba (common jujube), 983 nucleotides long. RefSeq lists it as uncharacterized. The record is from RefSeq and is a predicted model, not a curated record. The transcript has 3 exons. NCBI's taxonomy places the organism in Eukaryota, Viridiplantae, Streptophyta, Magnoliopsida, Rosales, Rhamnaceae.